RNAcentral lists this small nuclear RNA (62 nucleotides) under Microcebus murinus (gray mouse lemur). RNAcentral describes it as "U7 small nuclear RNA (ENSMICG00000045070.1)". It matches the Rfam family "U7 small nuclear RNA". From Rfam's summary of the family: Animal histone pre-mRNAs are spliced by a different mechanism than nuclear pre-mRNAs and self-splicing introns. This processing involves the U7 snRNP, which contains only one RNA species: U7. Lineage: Eukaryota; Metazoa; Chordata; Mammalia; Primates; Cheirogaleidae. The record is from Rfam by way of RNAcentral.
AAGUAUUACAGUUAUUUUAGAAUUUGUCUACAGGUUUUUCUGGUCCUUACCAGAAGGCCCCC